GAUGAACGCUGGCGGCGUGCCUAAUACAUGCAAGUCGAACGCAUAGCGAAAGGUGCUUGCACCUUUCACGUGAGUGGCGAACGGGUGAGUAACACGUGGACAACCUGCCUCAAGGCUGGGGAUAACAUUUGGUAACAGAUGCUAAUACCGAAUAAAACUUAGUGUCGCAUGACACAAAGUUAAAAGGCGCUUCGGCGUCACCUAGAGAUGGAUCCGCGGUGCAUUAGUUAGUUGGUGGGGUAAAGGCCUACCAAGACAAUGAUGCAUAGCCGAGUUGAGAGACUGAUCGGCCACAUUGGGACUGAGACACGGCCCAAACUCCUACGGGAGGCUGCAGUAGGGAAUCUUCCACAAUGGGCGAAAGCCUGAUGGAGCAACGCCGCGUGUGUGAUGAAGGCGUUCGGGUCGUAAAGCACUGUUGUAUGGGAAGAACAGCUAGAAUAGGAAAUGAUUUUAGUUUGACGGUACCAUACCAGAAAGGGACGGCUAAAUACGUG
RNAcentral lists this ribosomal RNA (497 nucleotides) under uncultured bacterium. RNAcentral's name for it is "partial 16S ribosomal RNA". It matches the Rfam family "Bacterial small subunit ribosomal RNA", at positions 28 to 507 of the family's 1533-position model. The record is from RNAcentral.